RNAcentral lists this long non-coding RNA (1140 nucleotides) under Gallus gallus (chicken). Its description in RNAcentral is "lncRNA (ENSGALG00010004176.1)". Lineage: Eukaryota; Metazoa; Chordata; Aves; Galliformes; Phasianidae. The record is from RNAcentral.
UCCACCUGCUCCCAGCGCACACAGGCGGUACCCCUGCUGCCCUCCUGUAGCAGUGACAGGACCAGGUAUUUUCUGCAGCCUGAACCGCGACAUGGACAUGCGUGCUUUAGCAGCUGCUCGUGGCCCUGUGGAGACCGUGGUCGUACCCGGGUGUGUCUGGAGAGCAACGUCCUGUUAAGUGACCCGUUAAGGGCUAAGCCUCCUCGCACACAGCAAGGCGCCGUAACCUGAGCUCCCUGCUCCCCCCACCAACUGCCGCGCCGCGCCGCCCGUCCCCUUCACCGCGCCCUCUGGGCUCUGCCGUUAAUCGCACGGAGAGGGGGUGCCGCCGACACUCUUCGCUCCACCCACACGCGUGAGAGCGGCCGGGCUGGAGGGGGUUGCCUCGCUUUCCUUCAGCUUCUUAGAACUUUCUAGGCGCGAUUGUGGCCACAACUUGGACCUUCUAAGAACAGUGCUGCGUCGUGACGCUCUGCUACCAGGCUGAUCCGCUCGGGGUUUGUCCGGAAAUGGCGGACGCAGGAGGCGUCCCGAUCACAAUGGCUUGUCCUGCUGGGGUACUGCAACCACCCAGACAUCUGCUGGAAAAGUAGCAUGGAGAGCUGAAGGCAAUCCAGGAGGCUCCUAGAAUGCACUGAGGAUAAUUUCCUGAGUCAGGAAAUGCAGACCACCAACCUGUUCUUUCAGAGCUGCUUGUUCUAGGCAAUCAUUACUCACUGGGGAUGCCUACUGUGUUUUCUGAAAAACACAUAUGACAGUAAUAGAGUCAGUUAUCAGCCAGAACAAGAUGGAAAUCUUACAGAAAUCUGUCCGGAAUGAACUUGCAACUUGGGUCAUGAGCUGAUUUAGUACAUGACUGCCAAGUGACAGUGAUCAGAAAUUAAACACCAGUCCCUCUUGCCCUGUUGGCACCACCUUUACUCCUGGAUUUUGAACUAGAGGAAUGUUCCAAAAUGAUCUUAAUUUCUACAGAGAGGAAAAGAUAAUGUGCCACUGGACAAGCAUCAGCUAAGGAGAAAUGAGGGUCCAACGAUGAAGGAUUUCUAUGACUUCUUGGAACAAACAGCUAAAGUUUCUCCAUAUCUGUCAACAAUUUAGUCGUUGAUAAUGGACUCGUUUCAUUGCACAGUGAAAAGCAAG